CGAACGGGAUUGGAUUCAAGUCAUUCCGGUUUGGUUGGCGCGUCACCCGCCAGAUGUUGCCGUGCGCCCGGGGCGAUUCACUUCGCUCGCGGUGUCGUUUUACGGUCUUCACUCGGCGCGGUCGGCGUUCGUCCACCACUGGCGAACUGCACUUCCUCCCUAGUAGAAACGUCGCGACCCGUUGGGUGCCGGUCAAAGGCCCUGGGUGGCAGACCUCGCCGAACUGCGAGAGGUUUCGAGCAGCGGCGAGGACCCCGGGUGACCCGAACCGGCUGCCCGACGGUAUGACCAGAGGAGCUGAUCCGCUGUGCUUGUGAAACACUGUGUGUGUGGAGCGUCCGGCCUGGCGUCGACGCGUGCGGGGGUUUUCGGUGAAAAUCGUGGGUGUACCGUGCGAUGCACGGCCCCGUCCCCGCCGCGUCGUCGGUCGUCGGUGUCCUCGGACUGGAUCGUGAUACUCCCGUCUGCGACGCCCACCCUCGGAUGGUCUCCCGACCC
This 498-nucleotide ribosomal RNA is filed under the name Achrioptera manga. RNAcentral describes it as "partial 28S large subunit ribosomal RNA". The record is from RNAcentral. Lineage: Eukaryota; Metazoa; Arthropoda; Insecta; Phasmatodea; Phasmatidae.